AAAGUGGUCCCGUCGUCCAUGGGACACCUGAACACGUCGCCCGUCUGCUGGUCGUCCGUCCAGGCCAGGGGGGCACCCACCAGGAGCCUGCACACAUACAACUGCCUGUCAAGGAAUUUUCCUUGGCGGCGGAGCAACAUUCCCGGGAUGACGGCAGAAGGAAGAACACAUUGGAAACGAAAAGAAAAGAAAAAGACGAGCGCGAGUACGGCUGAGAUGGAAAAUGCAGGAGAGGAAGGAGGACAGGAGGCCCGGUGCUCCUCACCAUUGUCGUCCUUGCGCGUUGUGUUGUCGUAACGUGUAGCCGAAGUGGCUCUCCUCCCAGCCUCGGAAGAUCUGCGCCCGCUUGGUGUCCAGAAGGCCGCAGAUCAUCGAGCUGAUGAAGAAGCGGCGCCAAGAAUCCAUCACGGUCACCCGAGAGAUUCGAAAGCCGAUGUCCAAAU
Molecule: long non-coding RNA, 443 nt
Organism: Hippocampus comes (tiger tail seahorse)
Lineage: Eukaryota; Metazoa; Chordata; Actinopteri; Syngnathiformes; Syngnathidae
Exons: 3
Source: RefSeq, a predicted model, not a curated record